Molecule: long non-coding RNA, 5113 nt
Filed under: Triticum aestivum (bread wheat)
Lineage: Eukaryota; Viridiplantae; Streptophyta; Magnoliopsida; Poales; Poaceae
Description: long non-coding RNA (TAES_LNC019937)
Source: RNAcentral
CCGAACCACCGCGGCUGGCGUGGACAACGACGAUAUCCAUGAACUGAGCUUCGGUUGCCGGAAAAAGUGCAACUUCUUUAAUUGUUGCGCCUGUUGUAUUACAACUGACUGGUGCUACACAAGUUUCGAGAGGUGCGAUAGAAACUGCCUGGGUCCCUUCUCGCAUUCUGAUGAAAUGCUAGCCGCGGCGACGGUGACCCCCGAAAGUGUGCCGACUAGGUCUGCAGUACGCACAGAUGGCUUGAUGAGAGACGUCAUCCCAGAAGAGUUCGGCAAUUGUCAUGUGUAGUAUAGCAUCGUUGCGGUGAACCCCUGCUCCUUUACCCGCCUAGCCGAAUUUAUUUGUCCCUUAAGGCAUAUGUAAUGCGUGAUGUGUGGAGAAAUAAAGUUUGCAAUACCCUAAAUAGCUGUUGCAGUUUUAUUUGUCAUAUUUUGUUUGAACUUUUUUAUUUCCAAUUAUUUCUGGCUAAGUUUUAUCGUACAACAAGUAAAGUGAGGCCUAAAACAAGUGUCUGUUUUCCCACAUACAUAAAUACAUACAUACAUACAUACAUACAUACAUACAUACAUACAUGUGGAGCGUGUACGAAUCUGGCGACUGGCUGCCGUGAUGAGUGCCAUGAAACAAGAUCUCUAAGAAAUGCUUCUGAUUCGGACCAAAAACAUAUCUCUGGUUUUACGAAAGAAUAAUAUGCAGGAACUCCCACACUGAUUAAUCAUUUGUCCCUUCGAUCCAAUAUUAGUUGUCGCUGAUUUGAGUUAGUACGGUGGUAUUAGCUGGUAUAGAAAAUGUUGGUGGAAGUAGCGGCAAACAUAAUAAGCAAGAAACGGACGGAAGAUUGUCAUAUGUUGAGUACCAACAAAAGAAUAGACGACUGCCUUUGAAAUGAAUGAAAAAACAACAGAAGAGAAUGGGAACGCACUUGAAAUCUUUCUGCAAUUCAGAUCUGAGUACAGUACAGGGACUAGUAAGCACCAAACAUUUUCAGAUCUGAGUCCAGUACAGGGACUAGUAGUAUGUUUCUGGAGGGAUUUGAUUCAGAUAUAGGGGCACUGACACCAGAUUUCGUUCCACCAUUUCAAUGAACAAACAGCGUGCUUCUUCUCCAAGAACUGAAACAUCAGUGCUUUGCCUUCGGAGAGGUCCUCCUCCUUGCCGCCGGCGCCUCGGCUGCCUUGCUCUUCUGUGCCGUCCUGCUGGCCACGGACGAUUGCGCCUCGCGCGCCCAGGAGAGGAGCGACAGUGUGUCGGUGCGGUCACCGGGGAACAUGCACAGAGUACUGUGAACUAUGUGUAGUAUUUCGAAUUUGGAUUUAAGCUUUCUAGGGGUCGUAGAGACACGUCUUGUGAACAUGCACAUUAUUUUGAAAAUAAAAUAAAAUAUUUAAAUUUAUUUUAAAAUAUCAAAACAUGGGAGCAUGCAGUAUUCUUGUUGUUGGACAGUUAAAUCAUAAAUACCAAUUGAAAAAGUACACAAAUAUAAUUUUUUUACCAUGAAAGUGAAAGAUGUCUUCUCACUGCAUGCAAUUUUUCUCUUUUUGGAGGUUGUAGGCACAUGUGUUGUGAACGCUCACAACUGUUUUCCAUUUCGUUAGACAUUUAAAUUUGAUUUGUGUUCUUCUUUUAAACAUGGAAGUGAGAGCAGCUCUAGCAGAGUCACCUUAUGACCUCGACUGUCAUUUUAAUAACUGCCAAUAUGGCGAUUUUAGCUCAAAAUGACACUAGUAGGGCCGCUGCCUCCCGAUGGACAUAAUUUAUAGAACUCUCCCUAUGGCGCACUAGCCACUACAGCCACCGAAUCUGAUGGAUGAUGCGGUGGGGCACGGUUUCUGAUGGCUGUCGGUGGGACGCGUUGUGUCGCAUCAGUUACAUAAAUUUACGGAACUCUUCCUUCACUUUAGUUUUUUCAUCCUUCGCCACUUCUUAGUUAAUGUCUUUUUUGAUGCCACAACCAACAAUCCCACUAGCAUAAGACCGUCGUUUCUUUGAUGAAAUGAUGGACCUCGAGCAUUUAAGGAAGCUCGUCAUCAGAAUAUGCAAGUCAAGUUUUAAUAAUGUAAAAAUCCCACUAGCAUAUGAAGAACUACCCAUCUAUCUUGGCUAGAGAAGACAAAUAGAUCGGAAAGCAUACAUAGCUACUCAAUUGUAUAUCAAAGAAACUCCAAAAGUUUGAAAUAUAUUCAAACUUUAUCCUAAAGUGGAGUUCUUGUUUACAUUAAUGGUCUCUUCCCCAUUUAUCAUCACAAAUGAAACAAAGGCCUUUAGCAUGCCUAUAAUCUCUCAACGCCAACCAUUUAUCUUCCUGUCCUAUUCCUCGAUCAGGCUCUAAAACUUGUUUCUCUUCGAUAGACAUGGUUCUAGAAGAUUUCAUAGCUGGAAGAGUGGGACUGGAAAAAGUGUUAACUCUCUUAGUAACUGAAGGUGUAGAAAACCUGUUAGCUCUGACAGCUUCAUCACCUAAUUCCUCAUGUAACAAGGCGAAGGUAAGCUGAAUCUAGAUCAGAUGGUUGCUGCAAACCAGCAAUGACUCUUACAACAGGUUUCAACCCUUCCAUGAAUCUGGUAACGUAGCGGAUAGUGUUAGGAAACUCCUCACAUGCUAUGAGUUGAUCAUACCAUUCAGAAAACCCUUCCACAUAAUCCUCCACUGUGCUAGUCUACUGAAUGUUGAACAUCUUUAGGAGCUGACUCUGGUGUUGGUUUCUGCCAAAGCGAGACUGCAACAGGCGACUGAAUUUUUCCCAGGUAGGAUUUGGUACCCGUCGCUGAACUGAGCCCAACCAACGGGCAGCCGGACCCUCAAACAUGGAUGAAGAGAAAGGAAUCCACUGAUGACGUAAUGUGCUCCAUAGUUUGAAAUAAUCUUCACAUUGGUUCUACCAAAGCUUCAGAUUGGAGCCAUCAAAUUUUGGAAGUUCAAUUCGAGGACUCAACCCAAACGAGUCAGCAGUAUUCGGUCAGACAAUUUUCCAUCAAAAUUCCUGAAUUGCCGUGGAAAUCCGGAUCAGUCUGCGUACCUCAAACCGGAUGUGGGACUUAAAUUUGAUGUCCAGACCCCUAGUGUUCAUGUUCAAAGCGGUGCCCAUCGGGGUUGACGGUGCCGCCUGCUGAUGCCUUGGGAUAGCCGAGCUUGGGAGACCCAGGCUCAGAGCGUGGGGCAUGGUCAAGUUCACCUCGCAUCUCGUCUAGUUCGACACCAAUGGAGACCUUGACGUCGUCGAUCCGCCCCGAUAGCUGAUCCAAUUUGGCGUCCAACGUAGUGAUGGCCUGGAUGGUGUGGUCGCUGCGGUCGGAGAGGCUCUUGGUCAACGCCUAGUCUAAAUCACCCCGCAGUAGCUCAUAGAUCGCCUUCGUCUCCAACUAGAUCUGAUCCAUGGACUCCUCUCGACGAUGAUCGGCGAAUCUUGUGCUGUGGGUAUGGGUGGCACCUCUAGGGCUACAAGGCUCUGAUAUCAAAUUGUAAGGAGCUCUAUAUAAAAUGUAUGGUGGCUUUGCGUCGAGUUCAUAUUACAACUUGAAUUCACUGAAAAUGGAGUUCCUCUCGCUCACGCCAUGGAUGCCUCAGCUCUAUCCAACCCAAAACAGAUUGCCGUCCUGGUCCUUCCUCUCUAUUGGUAGACAUUUUUAGUAAUUACAAGGCCAACAUGGCCCAUUCUGGGUCAGCAAGUCACGUAGGAAGCUUCUUUCGUCGCUUGGGCCAGCUGUAUCUUCAAACGUGGCUUCCCGCAUCUCAGGUGCCUGUAGGUCGCUGACAAUCUAACUUAAAAGAAAUUCCUAGCUAGGUCUUAUGUGGAUGACCAGGGAAGCUCAGGUACCAUGGCCGAUUUGGUUCUCAUGAAAAAUACAUUCUUAUAAACUUCAUCUGUACUGUUUUCUAUAUUGCCAAACUGAUUUCAAUAUCACAGUGCGAAAACAGACAUGUCUAGCAAAAAACAUUUGAUAAAUACAACAAAUAGUAAUUUCCAUAAUUGUGCGCAUGCAACACACGUCAAUUCGAUAGUAUCUUGACGCGCAAUGAUUUUUUUUACAAAUCUAAUAUAUAUUCUCUCCAGUCUAUAUUACUUGUCACUGAUUUAGUAUUGACUUGUAAUCAACAACAAUUAAUAUUGAUCGAAGGAGUACAAUUAAUUUUGUUUUCAAAAAUUAAUUGCAAUUAAUGAGAUUUCCACGAUCUCUACUUGCAAUUAAUUUGUUUCCAAGAUUUCUAAGAUUAGUUGAGAUAUAUAAAUUGAUGGUACAAGAUACUACAUAAAUAUUCCACCAUCAAUUUCUCGAAAUAUGUGUCAACAAAAAAUGAAAAAGAUGAUCUUGCGAAUUAAGUUCUUCAUUUAUGCCCACAUGGCUCUGAAAUGAAAAAAAAUACUAAGUUGAUCUCUCUCCUCACGAUCUCCCUGUAUAUCUAGUACGAGCCAUGUGCUCGAUGGGAAGCAAUCGUAUAAGUGAAACAUACAUAUAUAUUUUUCAUCAACAACCAUAGAAUAUCACGUCAGUGCCUUGUAGUGUUGUAUUAGAGGAGAGGAUGGACAAGCAGACGAUCCGGAUCGCUGCGCUGGCCCUGCUAUCUGUACACCUCCUAUGCUCCGCCACCAUAGCGCAAUGUAAGCAGUGCAUCCGCAAACAACAUUGCUAUUUCACUCUUUAAUUUAUAUAUCUUCAAAAAAUUUUGGUUGUUUGUUGUUUGUUAUCAAUCCAGAGAGAAAAGUGAUAUGCAUGCUAUUCGACAGGCCGAACCGUCGCGGCCGGCGUGGACAACGACGAUAUCCAUGAAAUGAGCUUGGGUUGCCAGAAAAAAAUGCUCCUACGCCUAUCAUUGUUGCAUCUGUUGUAUUAAUACCGACUGGUGCUACACAAGUUCCGAUAAGUGCGAUAGAAACUGCCCGGAUUUCACCGCGGCCACGGUGACCCCCGAAACCGUGCUGACCAGGUCUGCAGUACGCACGGAUGACUUGAUGCGAGGCCUCGUCCCAAAUGAGUUCGGCAAUUGUCGUGUGUAGUAUAGCAUCGUUGCGGUGACCCCUGCCCAUUUACCCGCCUAGCUGAGUUUAUUUACUUGUCCCUUAAGGCAUUUGUAAUGCGUGAUGUGUGGACAAAUAAGUUUGCAAUACCCUAAAU